GAUUUCUACAACAAUCCCUUUCUUGGCUUUCCUGCUUUCCUUGAUUUGGAAAGGACUCCAGCUUAUGAAAGAAAACGCAAAGAAAGAAGAGACCAUUCCACUGAUUUUGGGAACAAGACAAUAUAAUGAUCACAUCUAUGCUUUACAAAGAAAACUCUGCAUCUAUAUGAAGAAUAAAUGAUGGAGCUAGGCUGGAGAAGUACACUACUUGAAGUCAACAAGAAAGCAGCUGGUGAAAGAUGAUGAGACACUUAUUAGAGGAAGAAGCAGUGAGGAUGGAAGGGAGAGAAAUAUACACUAGAGGCACUGGAAAGUGCAUCACCCACCUUAUUGAGUCAUCAGAUAUGAUAUUCUGAAUUUCCU
RNAcentral lists this long non-coding RNA (363 nucleotides) under Pan troglodytes (chimpanzee). RNAcentral describes it as "long non-coding RNA NONPTRT016766". The record is from RNAcentral. Lineage: Eukaryota; Metazoa; Chordata; Mammalia; Primates; Hominidae.